RNAcentral lists this ribosomal RNA (460 nucleotides) under uncultured bacterium. Its description in RNAcentral is "partial 16S ribosomal RNA". It matches the Rfam family "Bacterial small subunit ribosomal RNA", at positions 338 to 795 of the family's 1533-position model. The record is from RNAcentral.
CCUACGGGAGGCAGCAGUGAGGAAUAUUGGUCAAUGGACGAGAGUCUGAACCAGCCAAGUAGCGUGAAGGAUGACUGCCCUAUGGGUUGUAAACUUCUUUUAUAUGGGAAUAAAACGUUCAACGUGUGGGAUUUUGUAUGUACCAUAUGAAUAAGGAUCGGCUAACUCCGUGCCAGCAGCCGCGGUAAUACCGAGGAUCCGAGCGUUAUCCGGAUUUAUUGGGUUUAAAGGGAGCGUAGGUGGAUUGUUAAGUCAGUUGUGAAAGUUUGCGGCUCAACCGUAAAAUUGCAGUUGAAACUGGCAGUCUUGAGUACAGUAGAGGUGGGCGGAAUUCGUGGUGUAGCGGUGAAAUGCUUAGAUAUCACGAAGAACUCCGAUUGCGAAGGCAGUUCACUGGACUGCAACUGACACUGAGGCUCGAAAGUGUGGGUAUCAAACAGGAUUAGAUACCCUGGUAGUC